CAGUUUCUGCUCAGUAGUUCAUCUAUAGGAAUGUUUGCGUUGUAAACGCAGCAAUCAUGUUGAAGAAAGACAUUUCACAAUGCAAUCACCUUUGCAAUUGCCGUUUCUGCAUUGAUGGAUAGCUAAGCAAAUUAAGUCACACAUUCCUUUUUCUUCCCUUCCUUCAUUUAACUACUUGAUAGCACUUUUCUACCACAACCCCUCCUUCUAGGAUAAUUGAAAUAAUAUGCCAAGAACAUUAGAAAUCCCCAGCAAAAUUCCAAAUUUUGUUUUUAAAGGUCUGAAAUGUCAUCCUGAUAGAAAAUGUCAUCUGCAGAAUCCUGAAUUAGAAAAGCCAUCCAUGGGCUGUGGACUAUGGGGCCACAUUUAUUUAUUUUGACUGUUAUGGAUGUAAUAAAUCAUUCUAAAAUAAUGUUGACAUUUAUGCAUUCUGCUAACAUGGCAGUUUAACAGCCUGCUCCGUAUACUGCUGCUUGAGUUAAGGAUUUGCUAUCACAUUUUCCAGCUUAGUUCUCCCAAUCUUAACAGAGCAGACAGUGGUAAUGUCAACUGCAGAAGUGCCAAGAGAGAAAAAGAUGGAUAAUGUAUUCAUUUUUAUGGGCAAUUUUAAACUCCAUGCCAUUGAGCACAUUUCUCUGAAUAGCUCUCCUAACUCACAGCGUUUGCUUCUUUCCUCUUUCUUUGGGCUACAUGAAGCCUUUUUUGCUCUAGGUAUGGCUUUCAGUUUGAUUUAAUCCUGCUCUCUGCCUACUGACAGGUACACAGAAUGCAUUAGCAAGAAAGAUAUCAUAAUUGAAAUCAAUACCGUGACUUUGAAGAGUGUUUCUAUGAUGAGUUCUGGUCCUGUGUAUUUUAUAUGCUGCCAUAACCAUGCUGAUGUAAUGGAUUAGACAUUUCUAUCAGUUCACACACACACACACACACACACACACACACACACAUGCACGUACAAGCACAAUCCUUGGUAACAUUCCUUUUAUACUGAGUGUGUUGUUUACCUCCUUGGCCUGCCAGUUGUUUGAUUAGACUGAACCAUUCAAUACAUUAAAAAGAAGAAAUGCACUUCCAGGUCAAAAACAGGAUUCAAGCACCACAGUGAAAGAUUUUUGCUUUCAUUAUAAAAGUGCUACUUCACAUGUGGAAAUGAGCACACAUUUCAAUUUCGGGCAGCUAUUUACAUAACAUUGUCCCCUCUUGACUUUUAAUCAUUUUUGACUCUUGAAACCUUCAUGACUAUCAUUGACUGCCCAUAUUUUCCUACACCAAUUCACGAGGUGAGAUUUUUCUGGCACUUUUCCCCUUCUACUGUGUUCUAACCUCACAAACACAACGUUGGGGUCUUGCAGGUGUGAAAUGAAGUGGGUUGAUGACCUCCCUGUGUCUUGUUUCCUGUAUAAAAUUUGCAUAUGAAUUCUGAAGGAGAGCCUUAAUAUUGGAUACCAAGGCCAGACAACCCACCUCUGAAGGGUCCUCUGGGUUUGGGGAGUGUCUCCAUCAGCUGACACCCCAGACCAAGUAGAGAAGGAACAACAGGAGUGGCCACAGUCAGGGUGUCCCUGCCUUUCUUAUAGCCAAACAGUCAUGAAAAGAAUUUUGGCAUUUCCUAUAGAAGCAAGAAAGUUUUUGCUCUUAAAAUUCUCCAUAUUAUUAAAAGCACAGUAGGAAUGCAUAUAACAUGUCAUUUCAUCCCUCUGGUGCUUACAUUUAACCUCUGGUUUUCAGAGUCUUGGAAUGUACCCUUGCUGUGUGGUUAUAAUUAAAUUACAUUCUAGAGACAAGUCAGGGAAAUACGCAGAUUUGUCUGCCGUUUGAGAUUAUCUUUGCUAGUGUAGCACCAGAUUGCCAAAACAACAUGGAAAAUAUGCACACCGUUAGCUCAGAGAAUGUGUUUCACUUGCAUGUAAACAAGAGUGACACUCAGUUUUUCUGAUUAUUUUAUAUCUUUAAUGGCUAUAUCAGUACCUGCCAUCAUUCUUAGUGUUCCCCAAAGGUUCUAGUCCACAGCUACCCCUCUGUGGUCUCCCAGUAUGAAUUUAGGGGAUAGAAAAGGAAGAAAUGGGCCAGACCUAUAGUAGUACCUUCAUGUUGUUAUUCAGGCAGAGUUUGGAGAGUCCGCAGAGAGACAUUUUUAAACACACUGUAGAAUUUUCCGGAAAAAAAAAUGGAAUUUAAUCACUGGAGUGAAACAAAUGUUCUUUGGGAAGUUAGCAGAAUCCUUUACUGUGUUUUCAAAUGUAGACAAGACUUUCCACAGACUGAUGCAACAUUCUCGUAUAAAAGUGUUUCCAAGUGGUUGGGCCUGACUCCCUUGAAUAUCUGCAAGACUUCAACAACUAUCAGCUGUCACAAGAGUAGAAAUCCAGACAAAGGGAAUGUUGCCAUCCAUCGGCAAUUUUUAAUCCACUGACUUCAUGCAAAUAUAAAGGAAUCCUUAAUCAAUAAGAGUUUAUUCUAUUUACUACUAUUUACCAACACACAGUUUAAAAAAUACUUCUGUCUUUAGCUCUGGCUCUCUGUAACAUUAAAAUUGUAUCCUCCUGUCUAAUAUCUCAAAAUUCUGUUGAAGUUAGGGACAAUAUUUUUUUUUCCCUCUUUUGGUCAUUUUCCUUAUUUCUUCUGAAUAUAAAUGUUAGUUGUAAUCUACCUCUCCUAAGCACCUUUUCAGUGGACACCCAAUAGCAACACUCUGUCCAUUCUCUUGAAACAGAGACAUUGAUGUUUAAACUCAGGAAUACUGCAUACUCAGAAUAUAAUUGAUGGUUACAAAAUGCCAACUAGCGGACAUCUGUUUUCUCCAUGAAAUGUGUUUAUCGUAAGAUUUUUAAAAGCCAUUUUCCAGAGGUAAAUGAAUCCAGUAUUACCCAAAUAAUAAACAAACAAUACAAUGCUUGGAAUAAAUAUCAAGAAGAUCUUUAUCUUUGGUGAUUCUUAGAGAUAUUUACUAUUAAGAUACUGAUAAAUGGCUACUUCUAAACUAAGGUAAUAAUUUUACCUUUAUUUACAAACAGAAAAGCAGAAGAUGAAUGUGUUACACAAAUAGCUUCUGCUGCCUUUAAACAGAAAUGAAGAACAAAACAAAACAAACAAAAACAACAAUGCAAAGCAGGACUCAGGAACAAAGAAUGUAUGUGUUUCUUAAUAAGUCAGUUUUCUAUCACUAGUUGCUAUAUAGACCCUCUGGGAAACCAGGCAGAAGAAAGGCAUGCUGAUUCAUUUCAUUUUUUUGUGCUUAUCUGUUUAUUUUCCUGAAAUUGUUUGAUCACACUGGCUUUUCAUUUUCCAUAUCUUUAUGGCUGUAUGGACUACUUCUGAAGAUUGUCUCAAUAUUUUAGAAUACCAUCUCUCCUGCCUUGUUAAAUUUCCUCCAGAAAAAACACAGGGGUUCUUAAAUAACUUCCCUUCCUUCUUUAUUGAAGCUUCCCAACAAAAUUGAACUCUCUAGGAACUUUCAGAUAAUGAGUAUGACUAAUGUUUAUGCAGUUUCGCAGGCAUAUAGCUAUUUUGGACUGUCCAAGAUCAGAAUCUGUUGAAGUGGGUAAAUAAUAACAUAGAAAUGUAUCUGCUAUACUUUGCUUAAGAAUGCUGUUGCACAGGACAAGGAUUUUCAUGCAGCAUCAUAUUCCGGGUAACUAUAAAAAAAAUAUUACAGAAUGAAUGUUAAUCUCUACAUGUGGUCUGCAAACUUGAGAGUCCAUGUGUGUGUGUGUGGGUAUGUGUAAGGCUGCAACACAAGAGUUUUCUAAUUAAGUGUUGUCUGUGGUUUGUGAUAGACAAACUCCUCGAUAAAAAGAAAUUACAUUACAUUCCCAUUGAAGUUCAUUUAGUUCAGUUCUGUCCAAUAGAUUCUUCCACAAUGAGGGAAAUACUCUCUGUGUGUGCCAUUCACUACAGUAGUCAGUAGCUGCAGGUGGCUUUUGUACAUGGCAUGUGACUAGUGCCACCGAGGAUCUGAAUUUUUUAAUUUUAUUUAAUUUUAAUUAAGUUAAAUAGCCACUUAACUUAAAUAGGAGGCUAUUGUAUUGAACAACACAGAUCUAGUUGAUAUAGGAAUUCAACUUGACAUGAUUAAAUCAUUGUUUUACUUCAUUCAGAGUAUAUGUGUAGCCAAGUACCUUCCAUGACCCUAAAAGAGGGUACACAAUUCUUUCCCUAAAUCCAAUUCAAGCCCAUGUUGUACACUAAUAGAAUGAAACUAGUUAUAUUAAUAAAGGGAAUAUGUAGCAGGCCAAACUAGAUAGUAGUUCAGGUUAUAGGCUUUAGAAAAUGACAGAUUUGAACUCAAAUUCUGUCUUCUUUGACCCUCAUCUGCCAUAUUAUCAUCGAGGGGAUAUUUAAAUUCCUUUGGGUCUUCAUUUUCUAAGCUAUAAUAAAGCUUAAUAAUAAAGAAAUAAUGUCUAUAACAAGCUUAGCAUUCAACACAGAGAAAUAACGAUGGUGACGAUGAUCCCGCUCAUGGUGAUAUUAUCGUCAUACAUUCUGACUCAUUUAAUCCUCAUAUAAUGUCUAUUAAAAAUACUACCGGGAGUGCCCAUCGUGGCUCAGUGGUUAACGAAUCCAACUAGGAACCCUAAGGUUGCGGGUUCGAUCCCUGGCCUUGCUUAGUGGGUUAAGGAUCCAGUGUUGCUGUGAGCUGUGAUGUAGGUUGCAGACUCGGCUGGGAUCCUGCGUUGCUGUGGCUGUGGUGUAGGCCGGCGGCUACAGCUCCGAUUAGACCCCUAGCCUGGGAACCUCCAUAUGCCAUGGGAGCGGCCCAAGAAAUGCCAAAAAGACCAAAAAAAAAAAAAAAAAUACUACCUCUACGUCCCAGAUGGGAAAACUAGAAGUGCAGAGUUAUUUUGUUCAAGGUCACUUAGCUAAUGCAAAAUUUAAACCAUACCUCUCAUUCUAAAGACUUGUUCUUUUCAUUCUGCCACAUUACCUCUUUUGAUAGUAACCAAUCAGACCUCCAGCCUAAAAUCUAUUCAUUCUCAACUAUAGAUAUGUCACUGUGAAGGUGAGGUGAGUCACAUUUAAGCAAGAGAAUACUAAGCAGGAUCCCAACCUUGACCUUUAAAGUAGGAUAAGAAAGAAAACAAGAAAGCAAGAAGGAAGAAGGAAGAAAGGAAGGAAGGAAGGAAGGAAGGAAGGAAGGAAGGAAGGAAG
RNAcentral lists this long non-coding RNA (5142 nucleotides) under Sus scrofa (pig). Its description in RNAcentral is "lncRNA (ENSSSCG00000056075.1)". Lineage: Eukaryota; Metazoa; Chordata; Mammalia; Artiodactyla; Suidae. The record is from RNAcentral.